This 188-nucleotide ribosomal RNA is filed under the name Escherichia coli. RNAcentral's name for it is "partial 16S ribosomal RNA". It matches the Rfam family "Bacterial small subunit ribosomal RNA", at positions 1347 to 1533 of the family's 1533-position model. The record is from RNAcentral. Lineage: Bacteria; Pseudomonadati; Pseudomonadota; Gammaproteobacteria; Enterobacterales; Enterobacteriaceae.
AAUCAGAAUGUCGCGGUGAAUACGUUCCCGGGCCUUGUACACACCGCCCGUCACACCAUGGGAGUGGGUUGCACCAGAAGUAGCUAGUCUAACCUUCGGGAGGACGGUUACCACGGUGUGAUUCAUGACUGGGGUGAAGUCGUAACAAGGUAGCCGUAGGGGAACCUGCGGCUGGAUCACCUCCUUAA